UACGAAGGGGGCUAGCGUUGUUCGGAAUCACUGGGCGUAAAGGGCUCGUAGGCGGCCAACUAAGUCAUACGUGAAAUCCCUCGGCUUAACCGGGGAACUGCGUCUGAUACUGGAUGGCUUGAGAUUGGGAGAGGGAUGCGGAAUUCCAGGUGUAGCGGUGAAAUGCGUAGAUAUCUGGAGGAACACCGGUGGCGAAGGCGGCAUCCUGGACCAACACUGACGCUGAGGAGCGAAAGCCAGGGGAGCAAACGGG
This 253-nucleotide ribosomal RNA is filed under the name uncultured bacterium. Its description in RNAcentral is "partial 16S ribosomal RNA". It matches the Rfam family "Bacterial small subunit ribosomal RNA", at positions 524 to 776 of the family's 1533-position model. The record is from RNAcentral.